Zalophus californianus (California sea lion) is the source of this 304-nucleotide long non-coding RNA. RefSeq lists it as uncharacterized. The transcript has 3 exons. The record is from RefSeq and is a predicted model, not a curated record. Lineage: Eukaryota; Metazoa; Chordata; Mammalia; Carnivora; Otariidae.
UGCUGAGAGGCUGAAGACAGAGGUCCCGCUGAGGUCUUAUCUGGUGACAGGAGCUUGGACACAUCAGCAAUAAAGCCCCACAGCCUUGUGACCAGUGUGGACUGACUGUUCUCCUUUCUACAACAGCUAAUAUUCAGCAAAUCUCCAAGGCUGAGAGAGAGAAUGAGAGAGAGAGAGAGAACUCACCUGAAGUCACAAAGCUGGUGAAUACGGGAGUCAAGAUUUAAAUCCAGAUUUUAGGGUCAAGGAUCCAGGCAGCCUGGCUCAACUCAAGGCAAUGGCAGCGGGCACGCCCCACAAGGCC